GGGAGAACUGUGCUGCUUUCCUGCCGCCUGUAGUCGCAGGGACCCUGACCGCCGGCGCUGGCUGCUGCUGAGCUUCUUCUGCAGGUAUGCUGCAUCCUUGGCAUAUGGAAACAGCUUAAAGCCCAAAAGGACUACAAGAGGGAUGCCGAGCUGCUCAUUUCUCCUGAACAGGCCAAUCGAUAUACAGAGUUACUGGGGAGGACACCCAGACAGGGACUCUCCACUCUUCUCACGGAAUUCAAUUGUCCAUUGAAACGUGAUUCUGCUUCUGAUGCCUGCAGUUUCACACAGCGGUUGGUGGAGAACACCCCCAGCUCCCCCCACACAACUCCCACCAGUGCUGAAACUGAUUACAGUAUUCAUUUAUGUCCAGCUGGGCUGUAGGUGCUAAUUUACAACUGUAGUUGUUAAUUUAACACUAUAGGUGUUCACUUAGUGCUGGACUGUGCACUUUGCUGCUUUGCAAUAACUCAACCUAAAAAAAACAUUAUUUGUAUUUGGUCAUAUUAAAGACAAUUCAAUGUAUCUACCACAAGGAAUUCACUCUCCUCAUGUGGCAGAAAGCCAUCAUUUGUUUCAUAUUGUAGAGUAGUGUCUGGCUCCAUGUUUUUAAGAACACAGAUUUCACAAUACAAUCAAAUACAAACCGAUAAAAUCAAUCACUGAGGGUAACUGCUAUUUUGACAUGUCAAAUGUUUUAUAAGAGAAUAUAGUGUUUAAUCUGCUUCAAAGUUUUACAGCUACAAAUUUGAUCAGAAUAUUUUAUUUACAAAAUAUAUUUACGAAAGUCAUUUUAGCAUUUAAGGAAACUCUGUUGAGUUUUGUUUCCAAGUUUUUCAAUAAGACAAAUAACUGAACAGCACAGUGAUUUAUCAGUCUACUCGUUCUUUAGUUGAGCUCAGUAACAUUGAGAUAAAUAACUUAUCAAUGUAGCUAUGUAUCAGUUUACUCAUACUUUAUUAAAACAUGGUUACAUUGAGAUGAAUAACUCAUCAUAACAGUGAUUUAUCGGUCUACUCACACUUUAGUAUAGCUCAAUAACACUAAUGUAAAUAACUUAGAAUGUGGCUGAGUAUUGCUGUGGAUUAUAGGUUGUGGGCCUGCAGUGAGAAUUUAUCCAUUUAAGUUUGGUGGCUGUAUGGCAAAAUAAACUGUAGUUCUUGACCAUGGCCAAAAUGAAUGGGAGUGAAUGAAAGAAAUGAGGAAUGAAAAAAUAAGUGAAUGAGAACAUGCAUUUUGGUGGCUGUCAGACAAAAGGAGAUUGGGGUUUGGUGAAAAUCCCACAUUUCCUUCGGGAUAAUUAAAUCUAUCUAACUAUCUAGCUAGAGAGGAAAAUAAAAUGACAAACAACACCUUUUUUAUACCAGGGAUCUGAACUAAAAUAGUAUAUCCAAAAGAGUAAAAGUGUAUUGGUUGUCCAGAAGUACAGUUCAGUACAGUAGAUGCACAUGCACUGUUUUACCCCAUUUAUUCCUAAUGGUAAAAUAACAGGUUUCAGUGAAGGCACAAGCCUAAUCACAACAAUAAUAAGAAUAUUAUGGUCUUUUUUGUUAAUAUUGUAUAUGUUUUAGCACACAUAACAAAUAGUACGGCUGCUACGUUAUGUCUUACUGUGUUCUCAAUCAAAAUACCAAACUAAUAAAAAUGGGUUGAUUGAUCGAUGUUAGUGUUAAUAAUAUCCAGUACAGAGUUUUAUUUGAUGCAUUUUUCUAGGUUUUGUUUUCAAUACAGUGAUGUGCUGAAUGAUGUGAAAUACUACGGAGAGAAAUAGUUUGGCAGAUGUCUGUGGUGACAGAAUAAUCCAAUUACAAAAAUGACAGUAAAGGUGUUGUUUUCAUUAAUAAGCCACUGCCAUUGAUUGUAGCAAAUAAAGAAUGCCUCGGGAGAGCCAACCAAUUUUGAAUGUCAACCACAUUGGCUUUGCCUGCCCGAGCUUUAUGAGAUAGUUUUAUGUUGUCUCAGAUGGUGCCUGUCUGGCCAUGGGUUUUUAUUAAAGCCUUGCUGUGCUGUUGCGGAUGGCCGUUAGUUCAUAAAAUGUGAGUUUGCUGAGCAGGAACUUGUGCUUUCGAACGUUUGCGUCAGGUGACAGACUGCGUGUCAGCUAGCUGUGUGUGAUGAAGUGCGUGGGGAAGGACAUUUGAGCAACGAUCUGUUGAAAAGCUCUGUUUUCAGGUGUUUCAAUGUUCUGGCCAAACGGCCCAGAGGCAGAGGCCGACCUGAACCCACCCCUCACUCAGUGAAAUGUACGCAGCUGGUUGAGAAGAACACAGCAUGUUCAGUUUGUUCAGAAUCUCGCACCGCUGUGUAGGCCAUAAUGCACUGGGGUAAAAACAAAAGAGCUCCUCUUAAGGAUAAAAAGUGAAAUAUGGGCAUACACAGCUAGAAAACAGCAGGCUUACUUUUUCAUACAAAAAAAAUAUAUAGGCAAUAAACAUGAUUUGUUGGUUUGCCAGAAACGGAUUAUGCCUAUUCUUGAACUAAAUAGCUGUGCCAAUAGUCACAGUUUUUUUUAGUCUGGGUUUUGAUUAAUCUAGGACCUAGACCUGUGCUUUUUACUCUCCAAUAAACAGUUAUGCAAACUGGAAAUAAACUUAGUUCUGGAUCCUUUCCAAUCAGUGCAGAAACUCCAUUCAGAAUGAUGUAUAAUCCAGCAGUCCAGGAAUAUUCUCUUAAAAAUAAAGCCCCACUUUUGGUUCCAUAAAGAACUGCAG
This is a long non-coding RNA of Astyanax mexicanus (Mexican tetra), 2711 nucleotides long. RefSeq lists it as uncharacterized. The transcript has 3 exons. Lineage: Eukaryota; Metazoa; Chordata; Actinopteri; Characiformes; Acestrorhamphidae. The record is from RefSeq and is a predicted model, not a curated record.